Laccaria amethystina LaAM-08-1 is the source of this 189-nucleotide small nuclear RNA. It matches the Rfam family "U2 spliceosomal RNA". Rfam says of the family: U2 is a small nuclear RNA (snRNA) component of the spliceosome (involved in pre-mRNA splicing). The record is from Rfam. Lineage: Eukaryota; Fungi; Basidiomycota; Agaricomycetes; Agaricales; Hydnangiaceae.
UCACCACUCUGGCCUUUUGGCUUAGAUCAAGUGUAGUAUCUGUUCUUAAUAGUUUAACCACUAUUAUGGAGGCACCGCCUCCAUUUCUGGUUAUCUAAUUUUUGCCGCCCCAGCUUCUUGGGCUCUGCUUGCACCCCUUGGACACGAUGACCUUGCUACUGCAGUACUGGCUUGUGUCGUCGGGGGAUC